This 457-nucleotide ribosomal RNA is filed under the name uncultured bacterium. Its description in RNAcentral is "bacterial SSU rRNA". It matches the Rfam family "Bacterial small subunit ribosomal RNA", at positions 340 to 786 of the family's 1533-position model. The record is from RNAcentral.
UACGGAAGGCAGCAGGGGGAAUAUUGCACAAUGGGCGAAAGCCUGAUGCAGCUAUGCCGCGUGUAUGAAGAAGGCCUUAGGGUUGUAAAGUACUUUCAUCGGGGAGGAAAAACAAAACUAAUAAUUUUAUUUCUUGACGUUACCCGAAAAAGAAGCACCGGCUAACUCCGUGCCAGCAGCCGCGGUAAUACGGAGGGUGCUAGCGUUAAUCAGAAUUACUGGGCGUAAAGAGCACGUAGGUGGUUUUUUUAAGUCAGAUGUGAAAUCCCUGGGCUUAACCUAGGAACUGCAUUUUGAAACUGAAAUACUAGAGUAUCGUAGAGGGAGGUAGAAUUCUAGGUGUAGCGGUGAAAUGCGUAGAUAUCUGGAGGAAUACCUGUGGCGAAAGCGGCCUCCUAAACGAAUACUGACACUGAGGGUGCGGAAAGCGUGGGGAGGCAAACAGGGAUUAGAUACC